Molecule: non-coding RNA, 70 nt
Organism: Trichonephila inaurata madagascariensis
Lineage: Eukaryota; Metazoa; Arthropoda; Arachnida; Araneae; Nephilidae
Source: the annotation of a GenBank genome assembly
ACCAUCAUAGCUCAGUGGCAGAGCACUGGUCUUAAACCAGGUGCCGUGAGUUCGAUCCUCACUGGUGGCU